CCUACGGGUGGCUGCAGUGGGGAAUUUUGGACAAUGGGGGAAACCCUGAUCCAGCGACGCCGCGUGAAGGAUGAAGGCCUUCGGGUUGUAAACUUCUUUUGGAGGGGACGAAUAAAUUGACGGUACCCUCAGAAAAAGCCACGGCUAACUACGUGCCAGCAGCCGCGGUAAUACGUAGGUGGCGAGCGUUACUCGGAAUUACUAGGCGUAAAGCGUAUGUAGGCGGUUGUAUAAGUCUAUGGUGAAAUUUCCUGGCUCAACUGGGAAGGGACAUAGAUACUGUAUAGCUUGAGUGUUGGAGGGGGAGACGGAAUUCCUGGUGUAGCGGUGAAAUGCGUAGAUAUCAGGAGGAACACCGAUGGCGAAAGCAGUCUCCUGGCCAAAUACUGACGCUGAGGUACGAAAGCUAGGGUAGCAAACAGGCUUAGAUACCCCAGUAGUC
Molecule: ribosomal RNA, 442 nt
Filed under: uncultured bacterium
Lineage: Bacteria
Description: bacterial SSU rRNA
Rfam family: Bacterial small subunit ribosomal RNA
Source: RNAcentral